AUACUUACCUGGCAGGGGAGAUACCAUGAUCAUGGUGGUUCACAGGGGCGAGGCUCAGCCAUUGCGCUUCGGUUGUGCUGACCGUGCGAAUUCCCCAAAUGUGGAAUCUGGAGGCCAUAAUUUAUUAGUGGGGGACUGCGUCCGCGCUCUCCCUGA
Hippoglossus stenolepis (Pacific halibut) is the source of this 156-nucleotide small nuclear RNA. RefSeq annotates it as U1 spliceosomal RNA. The record is from RefSeq and is a predicted model, not a curated record. The transcript has a single exon. NCBI's taxonomy places the organism in Eukaryota, Metazoa, Chordata, Actinopteri, Pleuronectiformes, Pleuronectidae.